CUACUCUGCUCUCCUUAGCUUCCAGCCUCCCAUCUUCUUGAACCAAGAGUCAUGCCUUUGAUUAAGCUGCAGAGUCCCAAUGGAGAGAGAGUUAAUGAUACAACCAGAUACAUGUAACUACAGAGACUAUGUUGGAAGACUUGAAAUGAGAUGAAGUGAGAUGAAGGAGAUGAAGAAAUGAAACUCCCCAACUGAAGACAGAGACUGAAAGCUGCAGACAAGAAGGGCAGAGUACCCACACAGGAAAUCAAGCUGAAGUGCCACCUGCAGACACUUAACAGACUACAAGCAAAUAGAAGACGGCAAGCAAAGGAUUCUGGGUCUUCAUCAUGAGGCUUGCCAUGCUGCAGCUCCCAAACAGCAACUGGGCAAACCCAUCUGGUCCCACCUCACAUAGAUCUGCUGUUGUUCCUGUUACAAGGCCUCAGGAAGCCCCAGAUGACCACUACAGGGCUGAGCCCCCCACCUCCCCAUCGGCUUAUCAGACGGGAUAAAUGCAAAUGAAGGAGAGUGAGAAGUAAAGAGCUGAAGACCUCAAUAUAGAGCAGUGGUUCUCAACCUUCCCGCUGCUGAGACCCUUUAAUACAAUCCUUCACGUUACGGUGACCCCAACUGUAAAAUUAUUUUCAUCGCUAACUCCUAACUGUAAUUUUGUUACUGUUAUGAACAUAAUGUAAAUACUUGAUGCGCAGGAUAUCUGAUACGUGACUCCUCAACUCACAGGGUGAGAACUACUGGGAAGGCUUAUAACCAAAGGACCUGGAACUACGCACUUCAGAGGAGAAAAAAAAAAAAAAAAGGCAGGGAUGUGAAAGGACAAAGCAAGAAACACAGGAACAGAAACUUUAGGUAUCUACAAGACAUGAGAAAGUGUGAAACGGAAAGGCUUGAGGGAGGGUGGACAGAGUGAAGCUCUCAACUUUCUGUCUAUACCCGCUCUACAGAGCACAAGGGUUUUGUGUCAGGCCACCAAGGAAGAAGCAUUAGAAGUGAUUGUGUAAAGGACUGUUUAACCAUGUGUAUGUGUCUGUAUCUGUGUGCACAGUGUGCGAGUGCAGGCGUCUGCAGAGGCCAGAGCCGUCAGGUCCUGCUGGAGCUAGACUUAUCACAAGUUGUGAGCUGCUUGACUUGGGUGCUGGGAACCCAUCUCUGCUCCUCCCAAAGCAGUAUAGCCUCUCACUCAGCCGUCUCUCCAGGCGACUUAACUCUUUCACUGUCUUCUUCUCAUGACCUUCUGAAGCUGAGUCUUUCGGGCCCUUGUACUGGCUGGCUGUGUGUCAGCUUGACACUAGCUAGAGUCAUCAGAGAGGAAGGAGCCUCCUUUGAGAACAUGCCUCCAUGAGAUGCAGCUGUAAGGCAUUUUUCUGUUAGUCAUCAGUGGGGGAGGGCCCAGCCCACUGUGGGUGAUGCCAAUCCCGUGUUGGUGGUCCUGAGUUCUGUAAGAAAGCAGGCUGAGAAAACCAUGUAAAGCGAGCCAGUAAGCAGGACCUCUCCAUGGCCUCUGCAUCAGCUCCUGCCUCCAGGAUCCUGCCCUGUUCUAGCUUCCUUUGGUGAUGAUCAGAGAUGUGAAC
Molecule: long non-coding RNA, 1571 nt
Organism: Meriones unguiculatus (Mongolian gerbil)
Lineage: Eukaryota; Metazoa; Chordata; Mammalia; Rodentia; Muridae
Exons: 3
Source: RefSeq, a predicted model, not a curated record